RNAcentral lists this ribosomal RNA (846 nucleotides) under Duthiersia expansa. RNAcentral's name for it is "partial 16S ribosomal RNA". The stretch from base 598 to 846 matches the Rfam family "Archaeal large subunit ribosomal RNA", at positions 2156 to 2693 of the family's 2987-position model. Lineage: Eukaryota; Metazoa; Platyhelminthes; Cestoda; Diphyllobothriidea; Diphyllobothriidae. The record is from RNAcentral.
CUAGACAGAUAGUUUGUUUGUGUAUGACAUUGUACCGAAGGAUUUAGAUCUUUAGUCAAGUUGCUGUGAGCAUUGAUAGAGUGUGUAACUCUUAUAAACUGGCUAGUGAUGUGAUAAAUUAGUCGUUAAAUCGUAUAACUGUUUUAAGCUUUUACUUGUAAUAUAGUUUGUUGGCGAUGAGGUCGAUAAACAGGUUAUAAAUUUAUGUGUUAGACGCAAUAGAGUGAGGUUAAAGUUACCUUUAUUUUGUGAGUAUGUUAAUAUACUGAUGUUAGUUUAGCAGGUUUUAAAUUUAAUUAGCUUAACGUAUAAUAGUGAGAGUGUAUAAUUGUUUAAUAAGUAAUUAUAUUAGCUUUUUUGUUUCUCAGCAUAAUUCCGUCUGUUUAUCAAAAACAUUGUCAUAAAAUUAAAUUAUUUAUGGUAGUACCUGCUCUAUGUUGUAAAAUAAAUGGCCGCAGUAUAUUGACUGUGCGAAGGUAGCAUAAUUAAUUGCCUUCUAAUUAGAGGCUUGUUUGAAUGGUUUGACGUGAUUUAUUGUAACAUGAAAGCUUUUAUUGAAAUUAAUGUUGUGGGCACAGAAUCCGCAAGUGUUAAUUAGACGGAAAGACCCUAGGAUCUUGUAUUUUGCUUGGGGCCAGUGUGAAUAUUUUAUUCAUUUUGUGAUCCUAUUGGAUUGGAGAUUUAAGUUACCCUAGGGAUAACAGUGUUAUAACUUAUUAGAGUUCUUAUCGAUUAAGUUGUUUGCUACCUCGAUGUUGACUUGGGUUUAUACUUUGGCGCAGUAGUUGAAGUUUGUGGUCUGUUCGACCUUAUGUACCCCCAUGAGUUGAGUUAAGACCGGCGUGA